CCUACGGGAGGCAGCAGUGAGGAAUAUUUGUUAAUUGUCGCGAGCCUGAACCAGCCCAGUAGCGUGAAGGAUUACUGCCCUACGGGUUGUUAACUUCUUUUAUUAAAGAAUUCAGUGAGGCACGUGUUCCUUUUUUUAUGUACUUUAUGAAUAAGGAUCGGCUAACUCCGGGCCCGCAGCCGCGGUAAUACGGAGGAUCCGGGCGUUUUCCGGAUUUAUUGGGUUUAAAGGGAGAGUAGAUGGGUUGUUAAGUCAGUUGUGAAAGUUUGCGGCUCAACCGUAAAAUUGCAAUUGAUACUGGCAGUCUUGAGUACAGUUGAGGUAGGCGGAAUUCGUGGUGUAGCGGUGAAAUGCUUAGAUAUCACGAAGAACUCCGAUUGCGAAGGCAGCUUACUAAACUGCCACUGACAUUGAUGCUCGAAAGUGUGGGUAUCAAACAGGAUUAGAUACCCGGGUAGUC
This 460-nucleotide ribosomal RNA is filed under the name uncultured bacterium. Its description in RNAcentral is "partial 16S ribosomal RNA". It matches the Rfam family "Bacterial small subunit ribosomal RNA", at positions 338 to 795 of the family's 1533-position model. The record is from RNAcentral.